RNAcentral lists this long non-coding RNA (219 nucleotides) under Lupinus angustifolius (narrow-leaved blue lupine). RNAcentral describes it as "long non-coding RNA (LANG_LNC001649)". Lineage: Eukaryota; Viridiplantae; Streptophyta; Magnoliopsida; Fabales; Fabaceae. The record is from RNAcentral.
GUUGCUUGGUAUUUAAGUAACAACUGUCCAACAACUCUCUUUAGGCUUUGAACUGCUGAUUGUUGAUCACAUUCGAUCCAAGGAAUAAGGGUAUAGCAUUUGUCCAUAUGCUUGAAUUCAUGACUGAGUUUUGGUCCUCCAUGAUGCUCCAAGGAUGUGUUAAUGCAUUGAGACAUAGGAACCAAGUUAAGUUCAUGCUGAUCUAUCAAGCCUUUUGUC